GGGUGAUUAGCUCAUCGGUUAGAGUGCUACGUUGACAUCGUAGAGGUGAUUGGUUCGAUUCCGAUAUUGCCCA
Non-coding RNA from Triplophysa rosa, 73 nucleotides. Lineage: Eukaryota; Metazoa; Chordata; Actinopteri; Cypriniformes; Nemacheilidae. The record is from the annotation of a RefSeq genome assembly.